AAUCUAAAAGCAUGGAUGCCAUCAGGUCUCUGGCUUCCGUUUCUUAUGCUGCUGUUGAUUUUUUCCGACCAUCAGCUCAGAGACUGAUAGAAGAGAAAGGGGCAGUGGAUGCAUUGGCUGCAGCUUUAGCCCACAUUUCUGGUGCAUCAAGCUUCGAACCACAAUCUUUGAUCACCUCUGAUAAGGGGUUUGUGACCAUGACUCUGGAAAGCCUAGAGGAAAUACAGGAUGUCAGCUGUGCUUGGAAAGAACUUAACAGAAAGCUGAGUAGUAAUGCAGUGUCUCAGAUUACCAGAAUGUGCCUCCUGAAAGGAAAUAUGGGUGUUUGCUUUGAUGUUCCCACAACUGAGUCAGAAAGGUUACAGGCAGAGUGGCAUGAUUCCGACUGGAUACUCUCAGUGCCAGCCAAAUUACCUGAAAUUGAAGAAUAUUAUGAUGGAAACACAUCUUCUAAUUCUAGACAGAGAAGUGGCUGGUCAAGUGGUCGAUCGGGUCGGUCAGGCCAGUCAGGUGGUCGAUCUGGUGGCCGGUCAGGUAGACAGAGUCGACAAGGGAGUCGCUCAGGAAGUCGACAAGAUGGUAGAAGACGAAGUGGGAAUAGGAAUCGAUCAAGAAGUGGGGGCCACAAACGGAGUUUUGACUGAGUAUUUGAUAGUUAAUCUACCAGUGUGAGCUUGCCUAUUUCUGCCUAAUCAUGUACAUUAUCCACCAAAAAUUAGGUCAUCAUAGUUGAGGUAUGUGUCUGCUAUUUGCAAAGAAGUUGGUCGUAUUUUUUUAAAAAGUAUUUCACAAGAAUGGUUGUAAACAAAUCUACUUAUCCAGUUAUACCUUUGAAUAAAAAACCCUCCUUUUAUUGUCUCUUUUCAAAAAAAAAAAAAAA
Rhinopithecus roxellana (golden snub-nosed monkey) is the source of this 880-nucleotide RNA transcript. It is a transcript of the gene named ATP-dependent RNA helicase DDX50 pseudogene, with no coding region annotated. The record is from RefSeq and is a predicted model, not a curated record. Lineage: Eukaryota; Metazoa; Chordata; Mammalia; Primates; Cercopithecidae. The transcript has a single exon.